Long non-coding RNA from Callithrix jacchus (white-tufted-ear marmoset), 371 nucleotides. RefSeq lists it as uncharacterized. NCBI's taxonomy places the organism in Eukaryota, Metazoa, Chordata, Mammalia, Primates, Cebidae. The record is from RefSeq and is a predicted model, not a curated record.
CCCCUCUCCCCAGCACCUGCCGCCAUUGCUCCUGCACACAUUUUUAAGGUCUGGCACCAGAGAUCAUAUGGCAGACUAAGCCCUGGGAAGAUGCCUGCUGUCAAGAACAAUUAUUUGUAACUUUUUAACAAAUUCAAACAAUGAUGCAAUAAAUAUCCUUGGAAAAGUUUUUAGCAGCUAGAUGGAGAACUGAGGCCCAAGAUCCUACAGUGACUUCGGAGAAGAUCGGGGCCUCACGUGUGGAUUCCUGAUACCAAAGAACAUCAGACCCCAUAGAAGCCAGAGGAGGACUGUAAGGGAAGGAAGACCUUCCUAAUUAUCGAAGUUGCCCAGCCCAGGGACCUCUGGUUCCCCAUUGCCAGAGGACUGCA